Gadus morhua (Atlantic cod) is the source of this 974-nucleotide long non-coding RNA. RefSeq lists it as uncharacterized. The transcript has 2 exons. NCBI's taxonomy places the organism in Eukaryota, Metazoa, Chordata, Actinopteri, Gadiformes, Gadidae. The record is from RefSeq and is a predicted model, not a curated record.
UUGAGGGAGGUACGUGUCCACAGCAGUGCAAUGUGAACUUGAAAUAUACCUGUUCUAACUUUAGUUUUAGUGCAUAUGGUAACUUGUAUUUCAGGAUGUGUGGACUUAAAUUGAGUCAUGUUUUGUCGAGAACAUUUAUGUUUUGUGAGCUUUAGAUAGUUAACGUAGCUAAUCUCGUGGUUUGCGCUCGCCAUUCUAUCUUCGUGUAGCCCAAAUGUUUCAGGGGCCGUAUUACAGAAACUUCCUAUCUUAAGUCCUAAGUUAAGAUAGGAGAAGUGGAGAUAGGAGUUUUCUCAAUUUGGUAUUACAGAAACAUAUCCUAUCUUAAUUUAGUAGGCCUAAUCCUAUUUUAUCUCAGGUUAAGAUAUCCUAAAUAGGCGAUCUAGCAUCGACAUUCAGCUUUUAUGUCUGUUACCUAGCAACUGAUUAAACUUGUUGUCGGAUCACGUCACUUCACAGCUGACAGCUGUCAUAAUCCUAAAAUAUCCAAUAACAACUGGUAGCUAUGGAUGGGAUUGGGAAAAAACAACGUCGUGCCGAAAAUUUUAAAGCGGACGAAAUAGAAAAGUUGGUGAGUUUAGUAGAAAGCUCAAAGGAAAUAUUGCAUGGGAAAUUUUCUAUGAGUCUGACCAAAGAAAAGAAAAACCAAGAAUGGCUGAAAAUAGCCGAAAAGGUGAGCACCGUAUCAGCGAUCAGUAGAAACGUUGAAAACGUCAAGAAAAAAAUUACCACACUGACAAGUGACGUUAAGAAAAAAGCAACGUUCAUUUGUAAAGACCGGAGAAUUACCGGUGGUGGCAACUCUUCCACUACCCCCCUGCCACCGGCGGAGGACCGGAUUGUGGGACUCCUCAGCAAGGCUGACUACGAGGGCAUCGAUGGAGGCUUUGAGACUGGGUUGCCAGUGGACUUCUUGGAGACCACAACUUCAGUCAGUGAAGUUGUUGAAGUCGAUGCUACACAACCGCCUCCUG